ACGGGAGGCAGCAGUGGGGAAUAUUGCACAAUGGGCGCAAGCCUGAUGCAGCGAUGCCGCGUGAGGGAAGAAGGUUUUCGGAUUGUAAACCUCUGUCAACAGGGACGAAAAUGACGGUACCUGUGAAGGAAGCUCCGGCUAACUACGUGCCAGCAGCCGCGGUAAUACGUAGGGGGCAAGCGUUAUCCGGAUUUACUGGGUGUAAAGGGAGCGCAGGCGGUUUUUUAAGUCUGAUGUGAAAGCCCGCGGCUCAACUGCGGGACUGCAUUGGAAACUGGAGAACUAGAGUGUCGGAGGGGCAAGUGGAAUUCCUAGUGUAGCGGUGAAAUGCGUAGAUAUUAGGAGGAACACCAGUGGCGAAGGCGGCUUGCUGGACGAUAACUGACGCUGAGGCUCGAAAGCGUGGGGAGCAAACAGGAUUAGAUACCCUGGUA
Molecule: ribosomal RNA, 434 nt
Filed under: uncultured Lachnospiraceae bacterium
Lineage: Bacteria; Bacillati; Bacillota; Clostridia; Lachnospirales; Lachnospiraceae
Description: partial 16S ribosomal RNA
Rfam family: Bacterial small subunit ribosomal RNA
Source: RNAcentral